Molecule: transfer RNA, 80 nt
Filed under: Burkholderiaceae bacterium
Lineage: Bacteria; Pseudomonadati; Pseudomonadota; Betaproteobacteria; Burkholderiales; Burkholderiaceae
Description: tRNA-Arg
Rfam family: tRNA
About the family: Transfer RNA (tRNA) molecules are approximately 80 nucleotides in length. Their secondary structure includes four short double-helical elements and three loops (D, anti-codon, and T loops).
Source: RNAcentral
ACCUCGUUAGCUCAGCAGGAAUUCAGAGCGCCGGUCUACGAAGCCGGAGGUCGCACGUUCGAAUCGUGCACGAGGUGCCA